Molecule: ribosomal RNA, 253 nt
Filed under: uncultured bacterium
Lineage: Bacteria
Description: partial 16S ribosomal RNA
Rfam family: Bacterial small subunit ribosomal RNA
Source: RNAcentral
UACGUAGGGUGCGAGCGUUGUCCGGAAUUAUUGGGCGUAAAGAGCUCGUAGGCGGUUUGUCACGUCUGCUGUGAAAUCCCGAGGCUCAACCUCGGGCCUGCAGUGGGUACGGGCAGACUGGAGUGCGGUAGGGGAGAAUGGAAUUCCUGGUGUAGCGGUGGAAUGCGCAGAUAUCAGGAGGAACACCGGUGGCGAAGGCGGGUCUCUGGGCCGAUACUGACGCUGAGGAGCGAAAGCGUGGGGAGCAAACAGG